UACGUAGGCAGCGAGCGUUGUUCGGAGUUACUGGGCGUAAAGGGUGUGUAGGCGGUUAUUUAAGUUUGGUGUGAAAUCUCCCGGCUCAACCGGGAGGGUGCGCCGAAUACUGAAUGACUUGGAGUGCGGGAGAGGAAAGUGGAAUUCCUGGUGUAGCGGUGAAAUGCGUAGAUAUCAGGAGGAACACCGGUGGUGUAGACGGCUUUCUGGACCGUAACUGACGCUGAGACACGAAAGCGUGGGUAGCAAACAGG
Molecule: ribosomal RNA, 254 nt
Filed under: uncultured bacterium
Lineage: Bacteria
Description: partial 16S ribosomal RNA
Rfam family: Bacterial small subunit ribosomal RNA
Source: RNAcentral